CCUACGGGAGGCAGCAGUGAGGAAUAUUGGUCAAUGGGCGAGAGCCUGAACCAGCCAAGUCGCGUGAGGGAAGACGGUCCUAUGGAUUGUAAACCUCUUUUGUCGGGGAGCAAAAAGCGGUACGUGUACCGCAUCGAGAGUACCCGGAGAAAAAGCAUCGGCUAACUCCGUGCCAGCAGCCGCGGUAAUACGGAGGAUGCGAGCGUUAUCCGGAUUUAUUGGGUUUAAAGGGUGCGCAGGCGGCGAGUUAAGUCAGCGGUAAAAUUUCGGGGCUCAACCCCGACAAGCCGUUGAAACUGGCUUGCUAGAGUGGGCGAGAAGUAUGCGGAAUGCGUGGUGUAGCGGUGAAAUGCAUAGAUAUCACGCAGAACUCCGAUUGCGAAGGCAGCCUGCCGGGGUGCGACUGACGCUGAGGCUCGAAGGUGCGGGUAUCAAACAGGAUUAGAUACCCGAGUAGUC
This 459-nucleotide ribosomal RNA is filed under the name uncultured bacterium. Its description in RNAcentral is "partial 16S ribosomal RNA". It matches the Rfam family "Bacterial small subunit ribosomal RNA", at positions 338 to 795 of the family's 1533-position model. The record is from RNAcentral.